This 64-nucleotide transfer RNA is filed under the name Megacopta cribriella. Its description in RNAcentral is "tRNA-Arg". The record is from RNAcentral. Lineage: Eukaryota; Metazoa; Arthropoda; Insecta; Hemiptera; Plataspidae.
GGAUAUUGAAGUAAAAAUUACAUUUAGUUUCGACCUAAAAAUCAGAGUAUGUACUCCUUAUCUA